This 5042-nucleotide long non-coding RNA is filed under the name Homo sapiens (human). RNAcentral's name for it is "HSALNT0191583". Lineage: Eukaryota; Metazoa; Chordata; Mammalia; Primates; Hominidae. The record is from RNAcentral.
GAAAAUACAAAAGCACUACUGUUUAACAGGAAAGUUACUAUCCAGAAAUUAACCCACAAAGGUGGGAAGAGUAUUUACCCGCUAAUCUCUUUAUUCCCUCGCCUGACAAAAUAUCUGCAUUCCUGGGCGGCCUCAAGAAAUGAACUACAGACAUCUAUUCCCUUUGUGAUACCUCCUUGGAAUCAAAGUGUGGAGUGUAACAAUGUGCCUCCACACACUCACACUAGUUGAUGCUUCAUCUUGGUGAAAUCAAGUUUUUGGAAUUACCUUUCCUAAGAUCAUUCUAUUCACAGAGAAGGAGCUUAAUGUAAGUGAAAUUUUGUAAAAACCAAAGGAAACUAUGGUGGAUGUAUUCUAGACAGAAGAAGGAUUAAACCAAGAUAAAAACAAUGUGAAUGAGGAAAGUGGGAGUAACAGGGAUUCCAAGAGAAAGAUUUUCCAUUUGUCAAAAAUGAGGAGUACUAAUCAGUAGUGCUAUGGAAACAAGACACUAACAGUUAUAGUCCGGAAGAAGAGAUGAUAACAUCUGUCCCUAAAAAGAGAAAUAUGUCUUAACCUUAAAGAAUCAAGGACUCCAGGGAUCUUUAAGUUCUGGUAGUGAGGAGAGUCAAAAAGGUAUAUCUCACCAAAGAGCCAGUGAAAAGAUGCUGUGAGAAUGGGUAGCCAUCGAAAGCAAUUCUGUUCAUCAGACAAGAGUUCUUGCUAUUUACACCACAUCUGCAGUGACUUCCUCCACUGAAGUAUUGAACCUUUAAAGUCAUCCAUGAAGGUUGAAAUCAACUUCUUCCAAACUCCUCAUAGGAUUGAUAUUUUGACCUCCUCCCAUAAACGACAAAUUUUCUGAAUGUCAUCUAAAAUGGCAAUUUUUUUCCAGAAGGUUUUCAACUUUGCCCAGAUCCAUUAGAGGAAUCACUGUAGCAGUUAUAUCCUUAAUAAAUGUAUUUGUAAAAUAAUAAUACUUGAAAGUCAAAAUUACUCCUUAACUGUGGGCUACAGGAUAGAUGUUGUGUUAGCAGUCAUGAAAAAAACAUUAAUCUCCUUGAACAUCUUCAUCAGAGCUCUUGGGUAACCAGGUGCAUUGUCAGUGACCAGGAAUAUUUUGAAAGGAAUUUCAAAAGGUCUCAACAGUAAGGCUUAAAAUAUUCAAUAAACCAUACUGUAAACAGAUGUGUUGUCAUCUAGGCUUUGUUAUUUCAUUUCUAGAACAAAUGCAGAGUAUAUUUAGCAUAAUUCUUAAGGACCCCAGUAUUUUCAGAAGGGCUAAUGUGUAUCGUCUUCAUCUUAAAGCCACCAACUGUAUUAGCUCCUAAAAAGAGAGUCAGCCUGUUCUUUGAAGCUUUGAAGCUAGGCAUUGACUUCUUCUCUCUAGCUACAAAAGUUCUAGAGGGCAUCUUCUUCCAAUAGAAGGCAUUUUGGUCUACAUUAGAAAUCUGUUGUUUAGUGUAGCCAUGUUCAUCAAUUAUCUUAGGCAGGAGAACUUCAGCUGGAGAACUUGCUGUAGCUUCUUGCACUUGCUUCACUUGCACUUUUAGGUUGGAGACGGUUUUAUAAAGAUAAUUUAUUUUCUUAAAUCCCAUGAAUCAACACCUACUAGCUUUAAACUUUUCUCUUCAGCUUCCUCACCACUCUCAGACUUCAUAGAAUUGAAGAGGUUAAGGCCUUGUUCUGGAUUAAGCUUUGGCUUAAGGAAAUGUUGUGGCUGAUUUGAUCAUUUUUAUUCAGACCACUCAAAAUUUCUCCAUUAAGCCAUAGGCUGUUUUGCUUUCUUAUAAUUUGUGUGUUCACUGGAGUCACACUUUUAUUUUUUAGAGACAAGUUCUUGCUCUAUUGCCCAGGCUGCAGUGCAGUGACACAAUCAUAGCUCACUGCAACCUUGAACUCCUGGGCUCAAGUGAUCCUCCUGCCUCAGCCUCCCAGGUAGCUGGGACUAUAGACAUGCACCACCAUACUUGGCUUAUUUUUUUUAAAUAAGUCUUCACUAUGUUGCCCAGGCUGGUCUUGAACUCCUGGUCUCAAGGAAUUUCCCCACCUUAGCCUCCCAAAACUCUAGGAUUACAGGCAUAAGCCACCACACCUGUCCUGGAGUAGCACUUUUAAUUUCCAUCAAGAACUUUUCCCUUGCAUCCACAACUUGGCUACUUGUUGCAAGAGGCCUAGCUUUCAGCCUAUCCUGACUUUCAACAUGCCUUCCUCACUAAGCUUAGUCAUUUCUAGCUUUUGAUUUAAAGUGAGAGCCAUGUGGCUCUUCCUUUCACUUGAACACUUCGAGUCCAUUGUAGAGCUAUUAAUUGCCCUAAUUUUUUUAUUGUUGUUUUAAUAUUUGCUACUACCACCAAGAUCUGCGCCUGCAGUGGCUCCACCCAGGCCCAUGUUCUAUUAAGGGACAUUGCAAUGGCCCUUCUACUCAUCUUGGCAUAGUGUCUUUAGGCUUGGGAGAUCUGAGCACUGCUCUGUCCUUCCUGCUCUAGUCCCUCUACUAGCAAUGGCUGCAUAUUGGCUCAACUCCUCAGCACCAUCCAUUUUCAGGGACAGUUGAGUAGUCAGUUGAGUUGUUAUACACUCCUUAGUGGAUUCUGACUUCCAUGGUCACUGUACUGUUGUAUAAUCAACUAUCCUAAUUUCAACAUUGUUGUGUCUCAGGGAAUAGGGAGGCCUGAAGUUAAGGAGAGACAUGGAGCAAUGAUCAAUCAGUUGAGCAAUCAAAACACACACAACAAUUAUCAAUGAAGUUUACUGUCUUAUAUGGGCAUGUUUUCUGGUGCCACAAAACAAUUACAAUAGUAACAUCAAAGGUCACUGAUCACAAAUCACCGUAACAGAUAUAAUAAUAGUGGAAGUUUGAAAUAUUGCAAGAAUUACCAAAAUGUGUCACAAAGACCUGAUGGACUUGCUAGAGGCAAGGCUGCCAAAAACUUUCAAUUUGUUAAAUAUGCAAAAUCUGCAUGGUAAAAUAAAGCAUAGCACAAUAAAAAGAAAUAUGCAUGUAUACACUAUUUAUAAUGUAUAUCCCUACAUAUAAUAUAUAUCAAUAUAUAAUAAAUGUACGUAUUGUUACAUAUUUGCAAAUAUAUAUGGUGAAAUAUAUCCAUGAGUUGCCAAAUCUGUUUUCACAACAUUAUGAACCUUCAAAAACAUGCCCAGCAAGGAGUCAUGAUGGCUGUGCAUACCCACGAACAGGGUUGAUUAGAAACAACUGUUUCAUUUACACAACACUGGGUCAUAUGACAAAUAAAUAACAGCAACCUGCCUAUUUUUAAAAUUUUGACAUCUUGCUUCUCAUGAAUUUUUUUAAUUUUUGAUUUUUUAAAUUCAUUGCCUUAACUAUUAUUUAGCCUGAUUACUGAGUUUUUGGCACCACUUUUAAAAAAAUAACUCAUUUAUUUUGAAAUGAUUUUCAUUGUAUAUAUUUAUGGGGUACAACAUGACUUUUUCAUAUAUGUAUACAUAAUGGAACAAUUAAUCAAAGUAAAUAACAUAUCUUCACCUCAUAAACAUCUUUUCUGUGGUUAGAACAUUUAAAAUCUACUUUCUUAGCACUUUUCAAGUAUGUAGCACAUUAUUAUUAACUAUAGUCACUCUGCUGUAUAACAAAAUAAAUGUCCAGAACUUAAUCAUCUUGUUUAACUGAAUCUUUCUAUAUUUUGACAAACAUCUGUCCUUGUUCCCAGCCUAUGAAAAGAAUACCCUACUCUUUUGAGUUCAACUUUUUCAGAUUCUACAUAAAAGUGAGAUCAUACAGUAUUUUUUUCUGUGCCUAGCUUAUUUUACUUAGCAUAAUAUCCUGCAGAUACAUCCAUAGUAUCUCAAAUAGCAAGAUACCCUUUUUUCUAAGGCUGAAUCUUAUUCCAUUGUGUGUAUCCGUCCCAUUUUCUUUAUCCAUUCAUCCAUCAAGAGAUAUUAUUUUAUUGUCAUAUCUUGGCUAUGAAUAAUAGUUCGCUAUUAAGAAUAAUGCUGCAAUGAACAUGAGGCUGUAGAUACCUCUGUGACAUAACUGAUUUCAUUUCCUUUGGAUAUACACACAGAAGUGGAAUUGCUGGAUUAUGUGGUAGUUUUAUUUUUAAUUUUUGAGAAACCUCCAUACUACUUUUCAUAAUGGCUAUACUAAUUUACAUUCCCACAAACAGUGUGCAAGGGUUCCCUUUUCUCUACAUAUUUGCCAAUAUUUGUCUUUUGUAUUUUAAUAAAUGCUAUUCUCACAGGUGUGAAGUGAUAGCUCAUUCACACCUGUGAAUUUGCAUUCCCCUGAUGAUUAGUGAUGUGAAAUAUUUUUUUUUUUGUAUACUUAUUGGCCUUUUGAUUCUCUUCUUUUGAAAAAUAUUUAUUAAAGUUCUGUGCCCAUUUUUUAAUCAGUUUGUUUGUUUUCUUGCAUAGAGUUGAGUUCCUUAUAUAUUUUUUAAAUUAACCCUUUAUCAAAUAUAUUGUUGGUAUAGUUUGAAUAUUUGUCCCCACCCAAAUUUCAUGUUGAAAUGUAAUCCCAGUGUUGGAGUUGGACCCUGGUAGCAGGUGUUUGGAUCAUUGGGGAGGAUCCCUCAUGAAUGGCUUGGGCCGUCUCUUUGGUGAUAAGUGAGUUCUGGCUCUGAGUUCACAUAAGAUCUGGUCAUUUACAACUGUACAACAGCUCCUGGCUACUCUUUCUCUCACUUGCCACUGCCGUAUGGUGUUCCUACUCCCCCUUUGCCUUCCACCAUGAUUGUAAGCUUCCUGAAGCCUCCCCAGAGGCUGAGCAGAUACCAGCACCAGGCUUCCUGUAAAGCCUGCAGAACUGUGAGCCAAUUAAAUCCUUUUUCUUUAUAAAUUACCCAGUCUCAGACAUUUCUUUAGAUCAAUGUGAGUGAGCUAAUACAAUGGUUUACAAAUACUUUCUCUUGUUAAACAGGUUGUCUCAUGAAUAGCUUGUUGAAUGUUUCCUUUGGUGUGCAGAAGCUCUUUAGUUUGAUGUAAUCCCAUUGCUUUAUUUUUCCUUUUGCUGUCUGUGCUUUUGUGAUAAUAUUCAAUAAAUCUUUGCUAAUACCAAUAUCAUGGAGCUUUUCCUCUAGUUUUUG